UACUAAUGAUUGAUUUAAAACACCCCGUUUUGAUGAUUAUCUCGAAAACCAGUACCGAUUGCACCCCGCUUUAUUAAUAUAAAGCUAUUAAAUACGUAUUUUCAUGUCAUAAACGAUCCAAAGGGGUACCAAUUAUUUGUAUAUAUAAAUAGAUUUUUCUACAGCUGAUUUUCACCCGUAGAAAUCAUUUUCACCAGUUUCUUUUCACAAAUACCGAGAGAAACCGAGCGGUGUUCUUCGUGUUCUUCAUAAUCAAACGAGGAUUUGAAGGUGUUAUUGGAAUCCGAUGGAGGCGUAUGAAUAGUCAAAACGAAGCUAUCGACGCGUAGAAUCAGGUUUAAGCAUCCGUUUAUGUGCAGAUUUUUCAGGUGAUUUUAUAUUAAUUUUACAAAAUUCGAAUUAUUAUGAUUUAAAUAGUGAAUUCUUGCAAACGUGAUUGUUUGAUUGUUUGGAUGAUUCCAUGUUGUAGUACGUGCUUUUCUCGUCGUUUUGGUAUAUUAUAUGUUGAUUUUUGAGUUCGAUAACAUAUAGAAAAAGGGGUUUGAUUAUCGAAGCUUGUUCUUGAAUGUUCUUGUAGUUCUUGAAGGUUUUUAAUUCGAAAUUGGGGAUUUCUUGUUUAGUGAUGAACGACCUCCGUAGAGGUCGCCGGAUACUGGAAAGAGAGGCGGCGCCGCCGCUCUCUCUUCCAAAUUUACGGCAACUUGGGACGUUUGAUGUCGGUUAUAAGGUCAUGAAUAGAUUCAUGGUGGUCUGUAGAGUAGUUCUGGAGCUUGUGGUGGUUAACGGAGGCUGGGAACGCGUUUCCCGGCGAGUUGGGUGGUGGCCGGCGGAAACUUUCUGUUUGGUCACCCAACUUUUGAAGAUGAUGAAGUGAGGGUACCCUGGUUUCAAAACUUACAAAAUACCCCCUGUAACUUUGAAAAGUUACAGUUUAAACCUUGGCCGAAAACUUUCAAAAACUUGCAAAAUAAACCUUUUGAUUUAAUUGUUUUAUUUAAUUAUUUUUAAAUUCCAAAAAUAGUUUUUAAUUAUUUCUUUAUUCAAAAAUAAAUCUAAAUUAGUUUGUUAAUUAAUUUUAAUUAGUAAUUAAUUAUUUUAAUUAGUCAAUUAAUUUAAAUAUUAAUUGAUUAAUUAUUUUAAUUAAUUAUUAAUUGAUUUUAAUUGAUUAAUUAAUUGGAUUUAAUUAAUCCUUUUUGAUUUAAAAAUUCCGAAAAAUAGUUUCGAGCUUUAAAAUAUUUUUCCAAAUUAUUUUCAAGGCUCGAUAAUUGUUUAUGAAUGAUUUCAAGUCCAAUUUCAAGUAUUUGGGACUUGAUUAUUUAUCCGAAAAGUGAUUCUUUUAUCGAUUUUAAUUCCGAAAAAUGUUUAAAAAUUCCAGAAAAUUCCCGAAAAAUCAUUUUAAACCCGAGACUCGAUUUGACAUUAGUCGGGAUGAGAAAUCUUAUGUGUUAUGUGAUGUGUGUUAUUAGAGUGAUGUAUUAUGUGCUGAUAGAGGAAGUAGGAAACAAUUUGGAUCAUAACUUUUGAUCUGUAAAUCAGAAUCAAGUGAAACGAAAGAGAGACAGAAGCUUAUAACGUCUAUCUUAAUAUGAUGUGACUAUAUGGCCGAGUCUAGAAGUUGAAUAAUUGUUGAUAAGUAUGCAUAAUGUGAUAAUAUGUGAUCUAAGUGCUAUUAAGUGAUGAUUAUGUGAAGUACGUGUUAGUUUUGAUAUUGUGAAGUGAUAAAUGAUUCGUAUGAUUGAUAUUGGAUAAGAAUAUAUGGAUUAUAGUUAUUGGAUUUUGUUGGUUGAUUAAUGAUUGAGAUAGGAUAACAGGUGGAUAGUCUAAUAAAUAGACGAGAUGAUGUCGGAUUUUUGACAAGAUUUAUAUGAUAAUUGAUUGGUGAUAUGUUAUGUGGAAUAUGAUUGACUAUAUGUUAGAGUCAAAGCAUGCUUAUGUGUUACGUGGUAUCUGAUAAGUUUAAAGGGAUAUAUAAGUGGGUAUCGAUAUACGUGAUAUGUAUAUGCGAUAUAUUGUUUAGUGACUAUAGUAUUAUCUUAUUCUCGUAAAGGAUUUGGACGAGACGUGUACGCUCGAAGACGUCAGGAAGUCGAAAUGGUAUUGCAAAGCGAAUAAGGGAUGAAUCGAGUAAGCGAAGCGAUGUGGCGAAUAGAGUACGGCUAGAGAUGGUCUAGAAAUUAUAAUAUGAAUAGAUUGUGAAAGUGGAAAGAUGAGGUUGAGCUAUGAGACUGGAGUCAGAUUUAAGGCAAGUAUCCUACACCCUGCUUUUGGAUAUAUUGCAUAUUCUGAUCCAUUCUUUUCUAUAUGUGCUGCAAGUAUCCUAAACCUUUCUCUUGGAUAUAUUGCAAAUAUUCUGAUCCAUUCCUUUGGUAUAUGUUUCAAGUAUUCAUACCUUUCUUUUCAAUGUUCGAAAGUGCGAGUAUUCUGAACCAUUCUUUCUAAUCUUCAAGUUUCUAAAGAAUUUCCGUUUUACAAAUUAAUUCGAAGUUCAGAUUGUCAUUGAAGCAUGUGUUGCUCAGUGAUAGUUAGAGCUUUGAAUGAAUUGGGAUCUUCUUGAUUAUUCAACCCGCCAUUGUCAUGCUGGUUUAGCAGGCUAAAUUCAGUUGCUUAGCCGAUAAUGGAGGAUACUGAAUAGUUGAGGAUUUCCUGAACUGUG
RNAcentral lists this long non-coding RNA (2653 nucleotides) under Daucus carota (carrot). Its description in RNAcentral is "long non-coding RNA (DCAR_LNC006398)". Lineage: Eukaryota; Viridiplantae; Streptophyta; Magnoliopsida; Apiales; Apiaceae. The record is from RNAcentral.